Molecule: ribosomal RNA, 1378 nt
Filed under: uncultured delta proteobacterium
Lineage: Bacteria; Deltaproteobacteria
Description: 16S ribosomal RNA
Rfam family: Bacterial small subunit ribosomal RNA
Source: RNAcentral
CAGGCCUAACACAUGCAAGUCGAACGCGAAAGGUCUUCGGACUGAUUGAGUGGCGCACGGGUGAGUAACACGUAGGUAAUCUACCCUUGGGCGGGGGAUAACGUUCCGAAAGGGACGCUAAUACCGCAUAAGACCACACGGGCUUUGGCUCGAGUGGGAAAAGGUGGCCUCUUCUUGAAAGCUACCACCGGAGGAUGAGCCUGCGUCCCAUCAGCUAGUUGGUAAGGUAAUGGCUUACCAAGGCGAAGACGGGGUAGCUGGUUUGAGAGAAUGAUCAGCCACACUGGUACUGGAACACGGGCCAGACUCCUACGGGAGGCAGCAGUGAGGAAUAUUGGGCAAUGGGCGAAAGCUGACCCAGCCACGCCGCGUGAGUGAUGAAGGCCUUCGGGUCGUAAAGCUCUGUGGAGAGGGACGAAAACCCUGGUUUCAAAUAGGCUCCAGGCUUGACGGUACCUCUUUAGCAAGCACCGGCUAACUCUGUGCCAGCAGCCGCGGUAAUACAGAGGGUGCAAACGUUGCUCGGAUUUACUGGGCGUAAAGCGCGUGUGGGCGGGUUCGCAAGUCGGACGUGAAAUCCCUGGGCUCAACCCAGGAACUGCGUUCGAAACUGCGAAUCUAGAGUAGUGGAGAGGAAAGUAGAAUUCCCGGUGUAGAGGUGAAAUUCGUAGAUAUCGGGAGGAAUACCAGUGGCGAAGGCGGCUUUCUGGACACUUACUGACGCUGAGACGCGAAAGCGUGGGGAGCAAACAGGAUUAGAUACCCUGGUAGUCCACGCUGUAAACGAUGUGUGCUAGGUGUCGCGGGAUUUGACUUCUGCGGUGCCGUAGCUAACGCGUUAAGCACACCGCCUGGGGAGUACGGCCGCAAGGCUAAAACUCAAAGGAAAUGACGGAGGCCCGCACAAGCGGUGGAGCAUGUGGUUUAAUUCGACGCAACGCGCAGAACCUUACCCAGGCUAGAAAAGUAGAGAAGUCUGUAGAAAUACGGAUGUGCCUUUCGGGGAGCUCUAAUCCAGGUGCUGCAUGGCUGUCGUCAGCUCGUGUUGUGAGAUGUUGGGUUAAGUCCCGCAACGAGCGCAACCCUUGUCAUUAGUUGCUAACGGUUCGGCCGAGCACUCUAAUGAGACUGCCGGGGUUAACCCGGAGGAAGGUGGGGAUGACGUCAAGUCCUCAUGGCCCUUAUGUCUGGGGCUACACACGUGCUACAAUGGUCGGUACAAAGCGCAGCGAGCCCGCGAGGGGGAGCGAAUCGCAAAAAGCCGGCCUCAGUACGGAUUGCAGUCUGCAACUCGACUGCAUGAAGGCGGAAUCGCUAGUAAUCGUUGAUCAGCAGGCAACGGUGAAUACGUUCCCGGGCCUUGUACACACCGCCCGUC